RNAcentral lists this ribosomal RNA (320 nucleotides) under Melioribacteraceae bacterium. RNAcentral describes it as "bacterial SSU rRNA". It matches the Rfam family "Bacterial small subunit ribosomal RNA", at positions 1214 to 1533 of the family's 1533-position model. The record is from RNAcentral. Lineage: Bacteria; Pseudomonadati; Ignavibacteriota; Ignavibacteria; Ignavibacteriales; Melioribacteraceae.
CUACACACGUGCUACAAUGGGCGCGACAACGGGCAGCGAAACUGCAAAGUUGAGCCAAUCCCUUAAACGCGUCCUCAGUUCGGAUUGGAGUCUGCAACUCGACUCCAUGAAGCCGGAAUUGCUAGUAAUCGCGCAUCAGCACGGCGCGGUGAAUACGUUCCCGGGCCUUGUACACAGCGCCCGUCAAGCCAUGGAAGCCGGGGGUACCCGAAGUCGGUGACCUAACCGCAAGGAAGGAGCCGCCUAAGGUAAAACUGGUGACUGGGGCUAAGUCGUAACAAGGUAGCCGUACCGGAAGGUGCGGCUGGAUCACCUCCUUU